CCGGCGGGAAGGGCUGGGCCCCGCGGCCAGCGCGGCCCCUCCUGGGCCAGGCACACACACAACUCUGAAAGAAAAAACAGCGAAGGCAGCAGUGGUGCAGAAGUGGGUGGACCUGGACGGAUUCGGGAGAGGACGAGCGGCAGCUGGGGCGAGGGGUCAGUUGGAGGGGCUUCGAGCCUGAAAGGGUCCCGAGUUUCCAGGAUCAACCGGACACCCUGUAGGCGCGCUCUUUCUUUUUGCCCUGGGGCUUCGGAGCCCCCUCUUCGUCUGCCCAGCGUUGGGGUGGCCUGGGCGUCACCCCCCAGGCUCGCGGGACUUUUCUUUGAAAGCUGGGAGACCCCUGGGGGCAUGCACCUCCCACAGGCCUGCCACUGGAGCGAAAAGGCGGCCGUUGCUCAGACCGGCCUGCCAGAAAACUUGGCAAACUUCGGUGAGAUUCUCCUGCCCAGAGCGAGAGCUCCGGCUGGCUGAGGGCUCGGCCUAGCGACCUUUCAUUUAUGUCGCUUCUCUAGGAGCCAGCGCGAGCGAGCUCAGUGGCCUUCACGCGCUGCAUGUGAGCGGGACGACGGAAACGCACUUUCUGUCCAAGCCAGGCCCUUAGCUCGGUGCUAGAGUUUAAUGCCUUUUGAAUUUCUUUUUAAACAGCAUUAAUAUAAUAAAGAAUGCAAUAAAAAGAACAAAGGACAAAUUGGUUCAAUUGUUUUAGUCCCGUGUAAUGUUUAAAAACACCCCUGCUUCAGUCUAUAGCUUGUUAUUGCUUCAAGAUGUUUUAAAAGCCCUUUAAGAUCACCAUUCUCACUUUGAUGCUUCAUCCUGGCAUGGUCCUACUUAAAAUGCAAUGGAUACAUAGAUUCUCAGCCUCUUUAUGAAGCUGCACGGCGUUAUAAUAGUACUCGGUAACUCAAACGACCACGUGGAGGACAACCAAAACUGUGCCAUCCUGCAGUCCCAUAUGAUUAAUCUUUAAAAUGUAAAGCGGUGAGGGUUUUAUUUUUUAAUGAAUAAAACACAAAAAGUUGAGUGUGUAUCAAUUACUAAUUGCAAUUCAAUGAUCACUGACCAUUAAGUGUCUUCUUGGAUGCCUUAGAUUUAUAGUAGCUGAAAAGCCAUUCUAAUGAGAAUGCUGGAAGUGUUUGUAUUGAGUGCCUGGCUCAUAGUAGGUGCUCAAAACAUACCGUUUCACUCAAAGGGCAUAGAGUGAUGAUAAGUUGAAGCCCAUAAACCAUGGGUUUUGUACUCUGAUCAUGUGGAUAGAGGCCCAAAGGGAAAGAGGAAAAUAGAUCUGUUGGAGAAAAAUGUGAUCCAAAGUAAGAAGGGAGUUACUUUGAUAUGGAAGGUGGUGAAGGAGAAAAAAAAAAAAGCCAUAAAAAAAGUUUAAUUAAUGAGCACACUGCGUUCAGCACCCUGUGGGAGUCAGCUCAAAUGAGACAUGUAUAAAAACUGCAUCCAUCCAGUGCUGGGUAGCUCAGCAAAGGACACCAUCAUCCUUCCAGAUGCCCAAACCAGAAGUGCCUGAAGUUACCCAUGGCUCCCUGCUCCCUAACAGGCCCUAGCCUAUCAUUCACUGAAUCCUCCUUGACCACAAUCCUGGUCUACCCUGUUGCCACAGUGCCUUGUUGGACAUCCUAUUUGUAGCAUGGGCUGAAGUGUGGCAAGGAAAUUAGAGUAAGGGGGCUUUUCUAAAAUGCAAACCUAAAACAUGUCAGUCCGUUCCAUGGCUUACUUCCUUUGGAAUAAAGUCCAGUUUUCCCACUCCUGCUGCCCUGGCCUCUACCUGUCAUUCAAAACCCCAUUUGUACCUAUUCUCCCCUUCCACUCUCUCUUUCAGUAAUGCUGAGCUUGGUUCCUUUCCUUUCCUCACUCUCCCCACCCCUGGGCAUUUGCUCACAAUUUCUGGGUGGAACAGUCUCCUUGCCUUCUCUCCCAACUCCUGAUUUCCACUCCCAUUUCCCUUAAUUCUAUUCAUUCUUUAAGUCUUGACUUAUGUGACAUUUUCUCCAAAAUGUAUCUCCUUGUGGCACCUUCCUGUACCCACCUACCCUUUGGGCCAGUUGAGUUGCUCCUUUGCUCUGGAGCGCCUGCAUAUUACCUCUUGUAAUACUGUCCGUUCUCUCUUUCAGGCACUAGAAUGGAAACUCUGUGAGGACAGGAACUGUUUUUAACAUUUAUUUAUCUGACUGCUUAUGAAUUGAGAGGCAGGAAAAGCCAUCCCCAGAUGAAGGGAUGAGAGGAAGGUCCAGGAACACAUGUGGCUAUGGACUGUGCCUUGGUCAAUCCAAUGGCUUUGAAAUACCCAGGACCAGCGAAGAGGGCGCUCUCCUCACUGAAUGUUCUUAAGCAGCAGAGAUGCAUGUAUAGUUUGGAAACAAGAAAAAAAAGAGAUUAAAAAGAGCUAGAAAGAAAUGGCAAGCGAUGUAUAACUAAAUUCAGGACCAAGCACAAUUGGCAAGGUGGUCUCCCGAAAGCAUCCGCAACUCAGAGCAAAUUUUCAGAUUGCUUUCACUUGGUGCUGAGAGGAUGAGGACAAGAGGACACAGGACAAGUUUGUCACCGUGUCCUGGGGAGAAGCUCUUUCCAUCAUCAGAUAUCCAAGAUUCUCCCUGUUGUCCAGCAUUUGAAAGUAUCUUUCCAACGUCCAGAGCUCAGGACUCUUUGGUUUUGAUUAGAUGUGUGACUUUUCAAGGUCAUAUGAAGAUGAGAUCAAGUGGUCAGGAAGGAAUUUGAGGAACAUCACAUUAAGUUUUCCUAAAGACUUUGCAGCAAAUCAGGAGGAAAGAAUUUUCCUUUCAUACCAAGUGAAUCAGAAAUCAUCUACAGUACAAAAAACAAGAGUCCACAUUAAUUAAUUCUGUACGGUGUUUCUUCUACCUGUGAUGGCAUAAACCCACUCCGCUGUUUGCCAAGACCCACGAAAGCAUAGAUGGAAUGCUUCUCUGCAUCCUGUUGCUGAUUUCAAUAUCUGAAAGAAUAAUUUGUCUGACUAUUCCAAUAUUCCUGGGGUCCAGAGGCUAAAGAUUAUUAGCAUAAUUAUUAGCAUACAAAAAUAUGGAAAACUCAUGGAGGACUUCGGCGGUCGGGACAGGACGCCUCUUCGUUGUCGUAGCUACACUCACUCCCGCACUGUGUGUGUUCGUUCAGUCAUUACCCACGAUUUACUCAUUUAUCAAGUGCUAAAAAUGACCAGACACUGGCCACUGGGACAUGGUUCCUGUGUUCUGAUGGAGCUGAUAUUUAUGAAAAUAAAUCAUCACCGAACAGGGAGAUGCAGGGAGACCAUCCAAAGGCCGUAGGAACGUGGAAGAAAGAUCCACCAACAGCACCAAGGAGAGGGAGAGGACUCAGAGGGAGAAGGUAGCGGUUAAACUUAUAUUGUUCUGGAGAAAGGUGCUGAAGCCCUGUGGAGUGAGAGGGGCCACCACAGACCUGCCACCAUGUGCCUAGACACAGUUCUUUUCAGAGUACAAGCUCCAGGAGAAGAUUGGUGUGUUUUGCUCCCUGUGGCAUCUCCCAGUUCCUGAAAAAGUGCUCAAUACAUACAUGGAAAAUCUAAAUGAAGACGUGAACCUGUUCUACAGUCCAUCCAGCAGCGCCUGUGGCUGGUGAGCUCUAGGGAAGGAGAGAGGAGGUACUUUGGGGAAGGCCUGAAGUAGCCUUAAAAAACAAAACAAAACAAAAAACAAAGGAAUUCUUGACCUGGAGGUUCUUUGAAAAUUUGAGUUGGGGCCUCAGUCUCAUCCUCUUGAUGAAAACAUUUCAGUGAGACCCAAUAUGUUGGGGGUGAAGCCCAUACUCCUUAAAGAGGUGCUGCAGGUCUCCUGGAACUGGAGUUUGCCUGACUCUCCAGCAUCUUCAGUGAUUCUCCACCGCGUAGACCUGUCCUCUCUGGAACUCACCAGGGUAUGGAGUUCCUGGGAUUCUCCGUGAUUUCUGAAGGCAGGUCAGUUUCACGUGAGUUGCUCAUUGCUGUCGUGGGAACCCUCGGAUGCCAAGACACCGUGACCAUCCCCUUAUCCAGGACGUCUGGCUCUUUAGCCUCCUCUACCCCACUCAGGAUACAGGGCUGCUCCUAAAUACCCAGGAACCCGGCAUACCUCCUGUAGUGUAUCACUGGAUGUGCCCUACAGCAACUUUAUUUUAGGUGGCAUGAGUUGUGCUUUGUGUCUCUGUGUCCCCAACUGCAUGGCCCAGUGCCUGGUCUCGGGAGGCCCUCCCUUGCUGUCUGUUAGAUGGUAAGGUGCCCAGACCCCAUUCAUGGAAUCCACUCAUUGGUGGUGUCAAUGAGGUGCGAGAGACUGGAUUUGAAACGUGUUUGCAAGCUACUUUGGUACAAAAAGUCUAGAAUAAAAUUUAGGACCGUAAAAUCAAAACAUUUUAGAACUAGGAAGAAUUUAGGAGUUACAUGGAGGAGUUGCUUUUGGUCAAGAAUCAAUGGUCUAAAAACAAGUCAGAGACACAGCUUUUACCCUCCAGGGCCGCAUCCGAAGAAUAUGAACAUUGGAGCAGAUUAUUUAAAAAUAUCAGGUUAAAUGCACUCAACUUAAAGGAUGUUUCUAAUUCAAAGACUAUGUCUCCCUCCUCAUAUUUUGAGGUUAUUUAUGAAUGAUUUCCUGAUAGAUAGUGGGGUUUUGUGUGUGUGUGUGUGUGUGUGUGUGUGUGUGUGUGUGUUUGUGUUUUAGUUCCUUGGCAACCCUAUGUUAGUUGUUGGUUCCUUCUUGAUUCGUUUAGUUUAAUUGGCUUACUAAAUCCAAAAAAUCUGGAAAUCCUAGCUCUUAUGUCUUUCCCCUCAACUGAUACCCAGAGAGAUGAUGGCUUGGUUCAUAAUCAAAUAAAUGAAUGUUUCAGUUCUAUGUCUUUCUGUAAUGCAAUUGGUGUACAUUAAGAAAUAUCAUGUACAUUUGGUGCAAUUGGUUUUCUGUUGAACAUUUAAAAUUCAGAAAUGAAACAAUCCAUUAACAUAUUUGUUGUAUUGCAUUUGGAAACAGGUUUGCUCUCUGCAAAGUGUCAACAACCAUAUGGUAUUACUGUUUGUCAGUAUUUGGGGAGGUUUUAAGAAAUGUCAAAGUACCAAAAUUAUAUAUAUAUGCAAUGUUAUUAUUGACUCUGAUGUGGAAAUAAAGACUGUUCUCUAUCAACUUUUGAUUGCUUACUAAGUUUGAAGGUGUUGUGAGAACCUUAAAAUAGAAUUUAAAGUCACUUUGAA
Non-coding RNA from Ictidomys tridecemlineatus (thirteen-lined ground squirrel), 5200 nucleotides. The record is from RefSeq and is a predicted model, not a curated record. NCBI's taxonomy places the organism in Eukaryota, Metazoa, Chordata, Mammalia, Rodentia, Sciuridae.